This is a non-coding RNA of Nicotiana tabacum (common tobacco), 756 nucleotides long. Lineage: Eukaryota; Viridiplantae; Streptophyta; Magnoliopsida; Solanales; Solanaceae. The record is from RefSeq and is a predicted model, not a curated record.
AUAUUUAAAAUUAAUGAGAAAUUAAUGUACCGAACAGGCUACAUACAAUUUCAUAAAUUUUGCCUUGAAGUUAUACAAAGACAGGUUUGCAGCCCAAAGUUCCCUAAAUAUGCGUGUCAUUUCUCUUCUCAAGUGCCCAUAGAAAGGUGACUUUAACACCCUUAAAGGUGGCAACUAAUAAUGCAGAUGACGUUGAGCCACACAAUUCAAAUACUUUGAAACAAUCGAAUGACACCCCAUCAUUAAUGACAAGGUGAAGGACAGUACAAGAAGACAUACUUGUUUCGCCCCUGUUGACCCACUUCAGCGGGGAUGGGUAUAGCACCUUAUAAUCCUAUGGUUACUUAAGCAAAUGGGGUGCUAGAAAUUAAGCUAGUGAUAAGCAAGUUAGACUAAACUUUGGCCUAGACUGUACCAGCAGGGCAGCAAAGAUGAAAAGGGUAUCUUGUUUUUAUAAUUGGCCCGGCGAUUUAACAAGACUCGAUGCAUACAAGAUUCUAAAUCACAGGAAUAACCACUUUACCAAAAUAUGAGCUGGCAAAGUGUCUUAGCUAGAGUCUAGUCACUUAUAAACAAGGUUUUAAUUCUGCCUGUACAGGACACUAACAAGAUUUGCUUGCCCAGUAAAAGAAAGGUAAGGAGAUGAGAGGAGGUUUUAAUUCUGCCUGUACAGGACACUAACAAGAUUUGCUUGCCCAGUAAAAGAAAGGUAAGGAGAUGAGAGGAGGUUUUAAUUCUGCCUGUACAGGACACUAA